GAGAAAAUAUGUUAUCAUUUUAGCUGCUAACUAAAUAUGAAAGCGGUUUAAUUCCGUUUUUUUCUUU
RNAcentral lists this transfer RNA (67 nucleotides) under Aphrophora sp. EMHAU-15062701. Its description in RNAcentral is "tRNA-Ser". Lineage: Eukaryota; Metazoa; Arthropoda; Insecta; Hemiptera; Aphrophoridae. The record is from RNAcentral.